CGCUGGAUGUCAGGGGUUAAAGUUGUGUUUUGUGUUAGUGGAUCAAGCAGCAAAAAGAGAGAAAAAUAAAAUUGAAUCCCUUGUGCAAACGAAAUUACAAAGCACCACUUGUAGAUGUAUAUAAUUAUAUUCCCAGUCUUAUAACAGGCAUUGAGAGAGAAAAUAAAUAAAAUGUAUAAAGGCUCUCAACCAAAAACCUAAUUUGAAGUAAGCAAAUCAUAGUAAGAAAAUCUAAACAUUUAAAAAAUAAUAAUAUUUGUCUAGUUUGACGAUAAGACAACUUACAGCCAAGACCAAAAAAGUACGUGUGCGCAACGUUGAACGUUUGCUGGGCAUAAAUGACGUUCAAAACCUUUAAAAUUGAAGUGAAGACCCACAAAAACAUGUAGCCUCGGAACAUUUACUGUUUACUGGGUCGGUACAAACGGAUGCAGUAAACAAAUCACCAAAAAUAUUUUGAGUCACUGAGACACUAUGUAAUCAAACUGAGUAGGUGAAUAUGAGAGCCUAGAAACAAAGGAGUUAAGUAAAACCUUAAUACAAUGAAAUUAAAAUGACUAAAUGCUUGUAAGGCAAGCACACUAGAUGAUCAAAACAUUAGAUCACAUCAAAUAAGCCCGAAUGGGUUCGCCAACUUCCCAACUAUACAAGACUAGUAUGUUAUAACUAAACAUAAUUGUAUCACAGGUGGGCUACUUACUAUCCACAGCUCACAAGCAACAGUUGCUGAUCUAUGAGCAAGUUCAAGACUUCUUGAUGUGACAUUGAAUGUGAGCCAUAGCCUCAUCCGGAGACUCAAAUGUGUAGUCUUUACCAUCAUGAGAUAGCCAUUAACGGGCCGGGAAUCGCAGUCCAUACUUCACACCUGGAUGGUCCUGUAGUAGUCGUUUGGCCUGCCCAAAAGCUGCGCGCUGCCUGGAAACAGUGGGGGAGUAGUCCUGGUAGAUAGAGAAGCUCUGUCCUUGAAAGCUCAGAGUGGUAUUGAGUGGUAUUCAGACGGGCUCGUCUGAGAAUCUCCAUCUUCUCAUGGAAAAAGUGCACUCGAAGAAUUAUGUCACAGGGCCUCUCACCAUCCCGGGACUUUGGGCGCAGCAACCGGUGGGCACGAUCAAUCAGGGACUUCUCAUCCAAGGCAAGAGCAUCCUUCAGCAGCCCAGAAAUUAAAUCCGUGGCACUUCCACUGACUCUGGGACCGAUACCAGUCUCAGGUUAUUGCGGCAAGAGAAUCCCUCUAAACUCACAACUCUCCUGCACCUUUUCCAAAUCCGCAUCCAGGCGUUUCACAUCAGCCUCCAGAGAGGUAGUUAAGUCGGAGACAUUGGUAGCGGAGGUCUCCAGUGCUGCAAUCGUUGUAGUGUGCAACUCUGUUGUUGUUUUGAGUGAUGUGAUUGCUGGCACCGUCUCCUUUCGCAGGAUGGUUAGACGGCAAUUCUUGUGUUUGCACACACCAUGCUGGCGUUGCAACGCCAGGGUUGUGGGUUCAAUUCCCACGGGGGGCCAGUACAAAAAAAAAAACAAUGAAUGAAUGAAAUGUAUGCAUUCACUACUGUAAGUUGCUCUGGAUAAGAAUGCCUGCUAAAUGACUAAAAUGUAAAUCUGCUUUUAAAGUAUCAGAAACCUCCUGUAUUCGGGCCUCAAUCGUAGCAACUACCUCCGUUUUCAUUUCAACUAUCUCAGUGCGUAGUAGCUUGAUGGCCUCGAAGAAUGUUCAUUUCAGCGCCGCCAGGCCAAUCCGCACCCCCGGGUAAAGUGUGAGUCCCCGGGCCUUCAGACUCAGGAGAGGGCGGUGAUGAGAGUGGGUCUUGUAGGCCGGGUUUUCUCAAAGUCAGGUUUUUGGCCGUAUGUUUCGUCGACAUGCUGACAUUCGAAAGCAAAGUAGUCUUGGUUUUUACGGAAAGGGAUCACCAAACUAAUAUUUGAAAACAAAUACAGUUCUGCUGCAAAAUUCACAUAAACUUUAAGAAUACUGCGGGAGCAAACGGAAAACACGUCAGUCGCACAUGGCGUACCUCCAACCCACCUAUUGUGAUACUUUUUAUAAUAAUUUUUUCCUUUGGACUACUAGGCAGCAAAAUGUGAAAACUGUACAAAGGGUGUGUUGUCCUGAGAAAAGACUUCUCCAAGUCUGGCCUCUGACCACAGAGAGAACGUUCACCUCGUUCAGAACUACUUCAAGGUGUGUCUGCGUCGUCUCGGGGCCCAGGUGUGUGGGCUGUUUGUGGAGGUGGAGGGCGUUCAGUUUGGCCGUUGUCUAGAUGCCCUGCUGCCCCUUAUCGAGAAACAUUUACUCUUUUACAAAUCAAACUUUUAAGAUAUCAAAAUAUUUAAAAAGGAGGAGCAGGAUGAGAAGGCAGCAGACAAACAGCUGUUCAGCUACCUGACCCUGGUCUUCAAACUCUCCAAGGACUGUAGCCUCCUGGAAGCCUCAGGACACGUUCACUAACAUCCUGGUUAAGACACUACAAUAGUACCUAGAACCUGGUCCCAGAUCUGUUUGUGCUGUCUUGCCAUCUGUUUGUGCUGUCUUGUAGUUGCGACCAUAGGAAUUGGCACGACAGCACUAACAGCUCAGGGACCCAGCUUUACUACCUCUGGAUAUCAUAUCUGUGACGUGGGCCCAGUCUGAAAAUCACCUCAGAUAUCUCAGUUGUCUGGAGAGACACAACUGGUCCUACAGUACUGUGUUCAUGUUGAGACCAACCUGUGCUUCCCCCACUGUUGGGUGUGGCUCACCGCCUCUCAGCUGUUUGGUCAGCUGUUUGCUCACUGGAGGGAGGACACCACAGAGGAGGGCAGUGCCAACAACACCACAGAGGACGGCAGUGCCAACAACACCACAGCCUGUUGCUCCUACAUUCCUUUCUACCAGCCUGGACAAGAAUGUGACACACCACUUCACAUAAUCAUAUUUAUCCUGCUACAAAAGAUUCUGGUGUAAUCAAGAUAGGUUUAUCAAUUACUUUUUCUGUCCUCCCUAUCUCCCCUGUCCCUCAGAUGAGAGUGCUAGUCCUGUCCUUUCAUCAUCAGCUCCAGUCUAAAUACCUAGACAUGUCCACAGGAGAAUAGCCUACCAGUAUCGGACUGUUUCUCCACUACAACGCUGGAUUCCUGCCGUAAACCCUGGACCAUUACUCCUGAUCUUCACAGCUAGCUAGCUGCCACCGAGUGACCAAGUACCGAAGCCAUCCCUGAGCCAGGCCAGGCCCACCUCCCGGCCUACUCAGUUGUUCACCCGGACUCCACCCAAACACAGCUAGAAUCCACUACUCCACCAGAUCCUUGCCGCAAGCUCUGGACCUUGGCAAUGGAUCACCGAGUGGCUAUAGUGGCUAAUGCACCUGCCCCGAAGCUAGCACCAGUUAGCCGUGAGCCAGGCGCAUCUCCCGGCUAGCAAACUAAAUUACUACAAUUACAAUACCUCUUUCGCCAAAGGCUUGGAUCCUUUGUCGACACGGUGCCCCGCCGCACCACCACAACUGGUCUGCCAACGAAUACUCCAUCCGAUGUGCCUUCAACCGGCCUCCGCUGGACGUCGGAGCAGACGCUUCUACUAGCCCCGGGCUUCUAACUUUAAAUGCCGUGUCGCCUGCGUGCUAGCGUAGUAGCGACCACUCCGUGGCUUCCCUGUUCCAUCUAUUGCUGUCCCCUGG
This 3650-nucleotide long non-coding RNA is filed under the name Salmo salar (Atlantic salmon). Its description in RNAcentral is "lncRNA (ENSSSAG00000084439.1)". The record is from RNAcentral. Lineage: Eukaryota; Metazoa; Chordata; Actinopteri; Salmoniformes; Salmonidae.